GAUGAACGCUGGCGGCGUGCCUAAUACAUGCAAGUCGAGCGAACAGACGAGGAGCUUGCUCCUCUGACGUUAGCGGCGGACGGGUGAGUAACACGUGGAUAACCUACCUAUAAGACUGGGAUAACUUCGGGAAACCGGAGCUAAUACCGGAUAAUAUAUUGAACCGCAUGGUUCAAUAGUGAAAGACGGUUUUGCUGUCACUUAUAGAUGGAUCCGCGCCGCAUUAGCUAGUUGGUAAGGUAACGGCUUACCAAGGCAACGAUGCGUAGCCGACCUGAGAGGGUGAUCGGCCACACUGGAACUGAGACACGGUCCAGACUCCUACGGGAGGCAGCAGUAGGGAAUCUUACGCAAUGGGCGAAAGCCUGACGGAGCAACGCCGCGUGAGUUAUGAAGGUCUUCGGAUCGUAAAACUCUGUUAUUAGGGAAGAACAAAUGUGUAAGUAACUAUGCACGUCUUGACGGUACCUAAUCAGAAAGCCACGGCUAACUACGUG
This 497-nucleotide ribosomal RNA is filed under the name uncultured bacterium. Its description in RNAcentral is "partial 16S ribosomal RNA". It matches the Rfam family "Bacterial small subunit ribosomal RNA", at positions 28 to 507 of the family's 1533-position model. The record is from RNAcentral.